Molecule: ribosomal RNA, 442 nt
Filed under: uncultured bacterium
Lineage: Bacteria
Description: partial 16S ribosomal RNA
Rfam family: Bacterial small subunit ribosomal RNA
Source: RNAcentral
CCUACGGGGGGCAGCAGUGGGGAAUAUUGGGCAAUGGGCGCAAGCCUGACCCAGCAACGCCGCGUGAAGGAAGAAGGCUUUCGGGUUGUAAACUUCUUUUGUCAGGGAAGAGUAGAAGACGGUACCUGACGAAUAAGCCACGGCUAACUACGUGCCAGCAGCCGCGGUAAUACGUAGGUGGCAAGCGUUAUCCGGAUUUACUGGGUGUAAAGGGCGUGUAGGCGGGAGUGCAAGUCAGAUGUGAAAACUAUGGGCUCAACCCAUAGCCUGCAUUUGAAACUGUACUUCUUGAGUGCUGGAGAGAUAAUCGGAAUUCCGUGUGUAGCGGUGAAAUGCGUAGAUAUACGGAGGAACACCAGUGGCGAAGGCGGAUUGCUGGACAGUAACUGACGCUGAGGCGCGAAAGCGUGGGGAGCAAACAGGAUUAGAUACCCUAGUAGUC